GACCGUGAUAAUGUAGCAUAAUCAUUCGCCAUUUAAUUGAUGGAUAGUAUGAAUGGUAUAACGAGUAUAACACUGUCUCAAAUAAAAAUCUUAUAAAAUUAGAAUAAUAGUGAAGAUACUAUUUUAAACUGUAAGACGAGAAGACCCUAUAGAGCUUAACUAUAACUCUUUAANCAAUUAAUAAACUAGUUUAUUAAUAAAAAGAGAUAGGUAGUUUAGUUGGGGCGACUACUUUCUAAAAUCAACGAAAGUAAACAAAANUUAAUUAAAAAANUUUACUGUUUAAUUUAUGAAUUUAACAGUUAUUAUAAUAGGUAAUAAUGACCCGUUAACAAUUAAUAAUAGUGCUAACGAUCAAUAAAUAAAAGCUACCUUAGGGAUAACAGGAUGAUUUUGUUCUAGAGAUCAAAUCGAAGACAAAGUUUGUCACCUCUAUGUUGAAUUAAGAUAUCCUAAAAGUGCAGAAGCUUUUAAGGGUAGGUCUGUUC
This 488-nucleotide ribosomal RNA is filed under the name Zanclea sango. Its description in RNAcentral is "partial large subunit ribosomal RNA". It matches the Rfam family "Bacterial large subunit ribosomal RNA", at positions 1944 to 2582 of the family's 2925-position model. Lineage: Eukaryota; Metazoa; Cnidaria; Hydrozoa; Anthoathecata; Zancleidae. The record is from RNAcentral.